RNAcentral lists this ribosomal RNA (468 nucleotides) under uncultured bacterium. RNAcentral describes it as "bacterial SSU rRNA". It matches the Rfam family "Bacterial small subunit ribosomal RNA", at positions 329 to 793 of the family's 1533-position model. The record is from RNAcentral.
UACCAGACUCCUACGGGAGGCAGCAGUGAGGAAUAUUGGCCAAUGGGCGAGAGCCUGAACCAGCCAAGUCGCGUGAGGGAUGACUGCCCUAUGGGUUGUAAACCUCUUUUGUAUGGGGGGAAUAAGCUUUACGAGUAGAGUGAUGACAGUACCAUACGAAUAAGCAUCGGCUAACUCCGUGCCAGCAGCCGCGGUAAUACGGGGGAUGCAAGCGUUAUCCGGAUUUAUUGGGUUUAAAGGGUGCGUAGGCUGUGAGGUAAGUCAGCGGUGAAAUGCCCCCGCUCAACGGGGUGAAGUGCCAUUGAUACUGCCUUGCUGGAAUGCGGAUGCCGUGGGAGGAAUGUGUGGUGUAGCGGUGAAAUGCAUAGAUAUCACACAGAACACCGAUUGCGAAGGCAUCUCACGAAUCCGCGAUUGACGCUGAUGCACGAAAGCGUGGGUAUCAAACAGGAUUAGAUACCCCUGUAU